Austrofundulus limnaeus is the source of this 775-nucleotide long non-coding RNA. RefSeq lists it as uncharacterized. The transcript has 2 exons. The record is from RefSeq and is a predicted model, not a curated record. Lineage: Eukaryota; Metazoa; Chordata; Actinopteri; Cyprinodontiformes; Rivulidae.
GACCUCAUCAAGGAAUUCCAUCGAUCCAAUCCCAGUCAGCCAUCCCCAGCUAGUGGUCCGUCCAGAGCCGGACUUUGAGGGGGGGGCGGUGUUAUGAUUCUGUCUCUGUCUGUCUGCUCUUGACCCAGUUCUUGCUCCUGUCUGCCUCUGCCCCUCCCAUCCUGUUCCUCAGUCUGCUCAUUGCCUCUGCCCCUCCCGUCACAGAAAACUCAAUCAGCUCAUUUAACUCACCUGUUCCUGCCAGUAUAAAACUCAGCUCCAGCCUCCAGUCCCUUGCCAGAUGAUCAUCAGCCUCGCCUAUGAUCUUCCAGCAUUCUUGUCCCUUGUCCUGCUCUUGCCUCGUGUCCCCGACCCUGCUCAUGUCURCUGGUUUAACGUCUCCUGCCUCAGUCCUUGUCGGAUCCUGCCUGUCAUCUGCUUUCACGGUAACGACUUUGUUUAUGUCUCUUGGAUUUUUGUCUCUCGCCUUUCCCCUGAACGGUACCUCGCCACAUCGGAUUACCUGGACCACGGAACACAUCUCUGGACCUACGACUCAGCCUGCCCCAUCUAACCCGGUAACAAUCUCUGACCACCCGUGUAUGACUCRYGAUUUGUUUUUGACCUUGAGAAAUUCCCGCAGCAGCUUAACCUCCACUGACAACACCACCUGGAACCAAAAAGCUGUGACAGUUGUUUCCACACGGACCCAGUCCCUCCUGAGAAGAUUUGCUGCUUCCGAACUUCCAUCCUCAACCUCCAGACACACCUUCUAACAAUAAAACUGUUAAACCGU